Molecule: long non-coding RNA, 1257 nt
Organism: Armigeres subalbatus
Lineage: Eukaryota; Metazoa; Arthropoda; Insecta; Diptera; Culicidae
Exons: 3
Source: RefSeq, a predicted model, not a curated record
AACAAAAGUUUAAAUUAAAAACAUGUAAACCUAGCUUUAAGCGAAAAAACGACAAAACAUUUCCCACGGUGCAAACGAUGAUAAUAAUGACUGUCAGUUUGAGCCACUCGCAACGCGACAACACCAUCAUCUAUUCUCUGCCAUCCACGGUUCUCACGCAUACAUGAAAACACGGUGCAAAAGGCUGCUGUAAAGCGGCAAUCCAUACGUUCCGCUAGUCCGUGCCAGUAUAAAGUGUCCGGAGUGCAAAUUUUAUGACACGUGCGGAUUAAAAACUCAAACUUCUCCGAAAAAAAGCAACCCGACGCAUAUUCCGGUGCCGAAAAGUGCUAGGCACGACAGAACCAGCCUGGUGAAAGAAUAUCCUCCGUGGUGUCCGACGAUAUUGCGCGAGACCGGAACGCAUUGAUAUCCCUCCGUGGUCCAGUCGGGUCCGAUUAUCACGAAACGAACCGAAAAUUAGAAAACGGAACAGUUCCGAGUGGAAAUCGGUAGCACAAUUUCCGAGCGGGGGUGUUUCGUCCAAAGGAAAGAGGAUAAGCGGUGCCAGAAAACAAACCGUCCCGUUGAAGAGGUCGUCCGAGCGAUUAGAACGACGUUUGCGAAGGAGGUCUUCCCUGGAAGUAAGCAAAUCCUAAGAAGAUGUAAAUCCGUGGUACUGACCAUGUCUGUCCAUAGGGCCUCUUUUUUCUGGGCUCGUUUCUUUCGAAGGCACUGACGGAGGAAGUUGUCGACUUUAGGCAUUGGUACCAGAACGGACCACAAGCAGCGGAACGCGGGAAAGCCACAUCAUUGAGGACGGGGAGGCACAAGGCGGUGUGGCCAGAGGCCAGAGGACUGUUUCGCAUGAGGCGCACUUGUCAGCCAGAGGCCCGGCGGUCUGGAACGAUCGACGUGAGGGGUGCUCAAUCUGGCGAAAGUGACGACGGCAGAGGCAAGGAGUGCGGAGAAAGGUGUUCGGAUACUUCGAGGCGGAAGCAGAUCCCUCGGAGAGACCCCAUCCAGGAACGGUCGCACUGGACGGCCAGAGGGGUCUCCAGCAGAGGGAAAGCGCUGGUGCGAAGAUCGGAAGCAGUUUGUUCGAAGCCCGACGGUAUGGAGACCGUGGUGCGGGAAGUAUUAGGGGGACGCCCCGAAAAUUACUGUAAGUAAGAAAAAAUGUUAGCUCGUAAGAGAUGAAAGGAAAGGGAAAGUAGGAGGUAGGAAGGAGAAAUUCGAAGAAGGGGAAAUACCCCAAAUACAUGUAUUAAAUUGAAA